RNAcentral lists this ribosomal RNA (465 nucleotides) under uncultured bacterium. Its description in RNAcentral is "partial 16S ribosomal RNA". It matches the Rfam family "Bacterial small subunit ribosomal RNA", at positions 28 to 507 of the family's 1533-position model. The record is from RNAcentral.
GACGAACGCUGGCGGCGUGCUUAACACAUGCAAGUCGAACGGAAAGGCCCUGCUUGCAGGGUACUCGAGUGGCGAACGGGUGAGUAACACGUGGGUGAUCUGCCCUGCACUUCGGGAUAAGCCUGGGAAACUGGGUCUAAUACCGGAUAGGAGCCAUUUUUAGUGUGAUGGUUGGAAAGUUUUUUCGGUGUAGUAUGAGCUCGCGGCCUAUCAGCUUGUUGGUGGGGUAAUGGCCUACCAAGGCGGCGACGGGUAGCCGGCCUGAGAGGGUGGACGGCCACAUUGGGACUGAGAUACGGCCCAGAUUCCUACGGGAGGCAGCAGUGGGGAAUAUUGCACAAUGGGCGCAAGCCUGAUGCAGCGACGCCGCGUGGGGGAUGACGGCCUUCGGGUUGUAAACUCCUUUCGCUAGGGACGAAGCUUUUUGUGACGGUACCUAGAUAAGAAGCACCGGCUAACUACGUG